AAUGAAAUAAGAAAAUCUACAAGUGGAAAAAACUUGCGAAUAAAAAUAAAAGUCGAGGUAUCGGACGCCCGGACGGCGGACGCCCGGCUAACUCUUUAAUUUCAACGGCUUCGGAGAAACACAGUCUGAGUCGCACGAGCGUAACUCGCGUUGCAUGAUUCUAGGAACCACGCGACGAGAACAUCCGACGCUGACCUUUGCAUGACGGUGGUUAGAACGAUAAUCGAUAAUCUCUCUGAUUAAUGUCGCGUAGGCAGAUAUGCGCAGUCAGGACUCCGUGGGACGAGUGUGUAUAGAAAUGUUGUCGAUUAUACUCGAAUACCAGAUCUAACGAACGCAUUGGCAAAAGAUAAUACCGAGAUAAUGAUGAAUAUUGUUUACUUGUACGCGCCAAUUUGCUCAUCGGACGGCUUAUUGUCGGGAUCCCUUAAAUACUUGCUAUUCCACGAUAAACGCCUGGCCUAUAAACGGCCGAAGCCGCGGGAGUGGGAAGGUCCUUCUCAAAAGUAAUUCCAAAAAUUCAAAUUCACAUUUGACGACGGAUGAGCUCUGAAGACGGUUAUUUCCUGCCCCGCGGACCGCAAAGGGGCCCUCGGCAUUCAUCCCUUUCCAUUGAGGCUCUCUCCAGCCACGAGCCGUUGAACGGCCAUGAUAAGAGGGGGAUAAAGAUACGUAGUUCGCACAAGGAUGAAACUGAACGUCUACAUCUGUUAUAACCGUUGCCGUUGUCGGUGCAUUAAAAUGAUGUUUACCUUGAAAUAAUUAAACUCGCCUACACAACGUGA
Molecule: long non-coding RNA, 785 nt
Organism: Athalia rosae (coleseed sawfly)
Lineage: Eukaryota; Metazoa; Arthropoda; Insecta; Hymenoptera; Athaliidae
Exons: 2
Source: RefSeq, a predicted model, not a curated record